GCUAUUUUGUCAGAUAAUAUGUGCUAGAUUUAGGAUCUAGUUAAAUAGAAUUUAGUUCUAUAAAUAGUA
Molecule: transfer RNA, 69 nt
Filed under: Thalamita integra
Lineage: Eukaryota; Metazoa; Arthropoda; Malacostraca; Decapoda; Portunidae
Description: tRNA-Leu
Source: RNAcentral